Long non-coding RNA from Quercus robur (English oak), 1580 nucleotides. RefSeq lists it as uncharacterized. The transcript has 5 exons. Lineage: Eukaryota; Viridiplantae; Streptophyta; Magnoliopsida; Fagales; Fagaceae. The record is from RefSeq and is a predicted model, not a curated record.
CCGUUUGGAUAUAGCUUAUUGUUGCUGAAACUGAAAACUGAAAACUGAAAACACUGUAGCAAAUAAGUAGGAAAACGCGUGUGAUAAAUUUAGCUGAAAGUACUGUAGCGCUGCUGAAAUUACUGUAGCAUAUAAAUACCAAAAUUUUACUCUGAUUUUCUUUUCCACUCCUCACCGUACCCUAGCUAAGCCUCUGAAGCGGAGAGUUCCACGCCCAUCCGAGAUUGAUGAAGGAAGACCUACAUCAGUCCGACGCCGGCGAAGAGCCUAGGUGAGAAAUCCAUCUAUCGGAAGACAACACCAGUCCGACGCCGGCGUCUUCUCUUCCUUCCAGAAACCCAUUUCACCCUUUUCCCUCCGUCCCUCGAGCUCCGACCCAUGACACAUCUCUUCCCAUAAAUAUAUGGGAACAUAAAUUUUUCGAUUAGCAAGAUUUUUGGUUUUAUCUGCAAAUGGAUGUCAUAUUACCCAGUACUGAAGUGCCCAUAAUUUAAUUGUUUCAGUUAUCCAUUGAAAGUGUUCAAAAGGCUGGCAAUGGUUGCUCAGAAACUUUGCAAAGGAAGGCAGAUUCAUUCAUACUUUCAUUAUGGAAAAGUUUGCCAUUAUAAAAUUCGUAACAUAAGCCCCCGAGAAAAAAAGACCACACUCACACCAAGCCAAGGUUUGAUCAGAGAAACACAGAGAGAGAAAGAGAACAGGUUUUUCAAAUUCUUCAAAGUCCAAGUACUUCUCUGCAAAGCUAAAAUGGUGAAAAGUUGAGAGCUUUGAAGUUUGAUGAGUCGAUGCAUGAGAGUGAUUAGCUUCUACCUAGCGAUUGAAGAAGAGAUCAUCUUACUUUUCGAGAUGAUGUAUAUUUCCUAUGUUUGGUAAUUAAUAUGUUGAAUUAAUAAAAGGCAAUAGUUGUGCUCUGUGCAGUUCUACUUUUUUGCCUUAUAAUAAUAUUUUUUUGAUAAUAUUGUGCAGUUCUACUUUUUUUGCCCUUUAAUAAUCUCUGUUGACAAUAUUGUAUUAAUAAAUGCGCAUAAAAAUUUUCUUCUGUGGAUCAAAAAAGUGAUCUUUGGGCUAAAUAUGCGUGAAGUUUUUUAUUGAUUGAAGUUUUCUGUUGUUAUCUGCAGUGUCUUUGCUUCAGCCUUCUCUGAUUUUCGAAGAAAGUUGUUUGAUUUGAAUGUUGAUGACAAAUAUUUGUGGGCACAAGCUUUGACCGGUUUGCAAACUAGCAUUAAUAGCGAAAUUAGAAAUUUAUAUUCAACUGGAAGAUUUACAGUUUUGAAAGAGCUCGAAGCAGUUAAUACAAGUGUAAAGAAAUUGUAUCCCAUGAUCCAAGAUGGUGUGGACUUUCAGAGGGACUAGAUCUUCGUACAAACCAAUAUGAUGGCUUUUUUCAUGUAGUUUUAAUUGGGCGUGAUGCUUUGCUCUAUAAUGUUAGACAGAGUAGUAGUGUCUCUGACCCAAAGCUAGGUUGCAAAGUAGUAGAAAGAGUACAAUCUUAAUUAUUGGGGAUAGCUAAAAUUUGUUUAGGGCUUCAUGUAGAUUCUUUUGUAUUUGAUAUUAUUCUAUUGAUUCGUUUCUAUUUGAUAUUA